ACCAGUGUCGUAUAGUGGUUUGAAUGUUGGACUAUGGCUCUGGAGACCAAGAUUCGAAUCCUGGCUCAGUCA
Non-coding RNA from Phrynosoma platyrhinos (Desert horned lizard), 72 nucleotides. The record is from the annotation of a GenBank genome assembly. Lineage: Eukaryota; Metazoa; Chordata; Lepidosauria; Squamata; Phrynosomatidae.